AUGGAUCCAGAGCGUGUCUUUAUCGAAAAAUUGAAGAACAGGGUUCGACUUGUCACUGAAGGUGCUGUGAUAAUGGUCUGCCCAGUUCUUCUUGCCGCCUCACUGAACAAAGUCCAACUGACGACAAGCAAGGGACAUGGCUUUGUACGAGGCAGCAUCUCCCCAUUGUCUGCCUUAACUCUGGUAGCUGGUUUACUAUCGUUCCUCUGCCUCUGCAUCUGCUUAUCUUUUGGGAGAGUAACAGAAAGGUUGGCGCACAUCCUGUUUGUGGGCUCGAAGUGCCUCGUACACCUCUGUGCCCUUCUGCUGAUGCUCCUGGCCUUGGGCAUCCUACUUCUCGUCGACCGGAAACACGUCUACUACGUGCCUAUUCCCGUUGUCUCCAUAUGUAUUAUCCUUUGGCGCUGCUGGAUGAUGUACCGGUAUGACCAUGGCCGCGAUGCAGAGAUGUACACAGGCGAUGAACAAGGCAGGCUUGAAACCUCGGUCGAUUUCUCUGCCGCUGUCACUGCCCUCCUGUUUCUGGGGUUGGAAGGCCUGGCGUUGGAGGGGCAGAGCAGAAGCGCACAGAAACUGCAUGCUGCCUCGCUCGUGUUGUCCUUCGUCGCUUGCCUGUUGGGCGUGCUCUUCAUGCUGUUGGCUACGGUGCCUCCAAUGAUCACAGACGCUCGUCAAGGCAAGACCGCAUGCACCCACAUCGAGGCCAUGAACAUGUUUCUGGCCGGCUUCUUCGCCCUCAACGUGUUUUUGAUCACGUGGCCGCCGUUGGGAGAGCUGGCGUGUCUAGUGUGGAUACAGCUACUGGUUUCUCUACUCGCUUGGGUAUACGAAAAUCUUACCGCCACUGAGGAGCACACCAAAAAAGAUGUUACGCCGGCGACAAUGGAGCUAACCAAGGUCAUCUUUGCUGGCUUCCUGGCUGUAUCGGUGCCAGCCGCCAGUAACAAGUCAGUUAGCGGAUGCACCUCUGCUUUCGUGCUCAUCACCGGAACAGCUGUUAUCACUGGCCUCUUAUGGAGAGUUUUUACGCACUGGACGCCCGCGGGGAGCUCCAUGAUCAAAGCUAUUAAUUUUGCUUGUUUCUGUACCCAUCUGUACGUUUGUGCUGCUACCAUUCCGUUUGCAUUCAUGGCUUACAACGCUCUAAUGAGCUGA
This 1155-nucleotide ribosomal RNA is filed under the name Triticum aestivum (bread wheat). Its description in RNAcentral is "partial small subunit ribosomal RNA". The record is from RNAcentral. Lineage: Eukaryota; Viridiplantae; Streptophyta; Magnoliopsida; Poales; Poaceae.